CAGGCUUUACAGUCAUUCUUAAAUUGUACAGAGCACUGCCUUCGGGAGGCAGGGGCCGCAAGUUCAAAUCUUGCCAUCCCGACCA
RNAcentral lists this transfer RNA (85 nucleotides) under Gammaproteobacteria bacterium. Its description in RNAcentral is "tRNA-Pro". Lineage: Bacteria; Pseudomonadati; Pseudomonadota; Gammaproteobacteria. The record is from RNAcentral.